This 246-nucleotide ribosomal RNA is filed under the name uncultured bacterium. Its description in RNAcentral is "partial 16S ribosomal RNA". It matches the Rfam family "Bacterial small subunit ribosomal RNA", at positions 796 to 1041 of the family's 1533-position model. The record is from RNAcentral.
CACGCCGUAAACGAUGUCUACUAGCCGUUGGGUUCCUUGAGGACUUAGUGGCGCAGCUAACGCAAUAAGUAGACCGCCUGGGGAGUACGGUCGCAAGAUUAAAACUCAAAUGAAUUGACGGGGGCCCGCACAAGCGGUGGAGCAUGUGGUUUAAUUCGACGCAACGCGAAGAACCUUACCAGGUCUUGACAUCCAGAGAACUUUCCAGAGAUGGAUUGGUGCCUUCGGGAGCUCUGAGACAGGUGC